This 253-nucleotide ribosomal RNA is filed under the name uncultured bacterium. RNAcentral describes it as "partial 16S ribosomal RNA". It matches the Rfam family "Bacterial small subunit ribosomal RNA", at positions 524 to 776 of the family's 1533-position model. The record is from RNAcentral.
UACGAGAGGCCCAAACGUUAUUCGGAAUUACUGGGCUUAAAGAGUUCGUAGGCGGCGCAGCAAGUAGGGUGUGAAAGCCCUCGUCUCAACCGAGGAAUUGCGCUCUAAACUACUGUGCUUGAGGGACCUAGAGGUGAGCGGAACUGAUGGUGGAGCGGUGAAAUGCGUUGAUAUCAUCAGGAACACCGGAGGCGAAGGCGGCUCACUGGGGGUCUUCUGACGCUGAGGAACGAAAGCCAGGGGAGCGAACGGG